This is a long non-coding RNA of Vidua chalybeata, 899 nucleotides long. RefSeq lists it as uncharacterized. Lineage: Eukaryota; Metazoa; Chordata; Aves; Passeriformes; Viduidae. The record is from RefSeq and is a predicted model, not a curated record. The transcript has 4 exons.
AAACGCCGCAGCGCCCGGAGCGCAGGCGCGGAGCCGGGAGCGGCAGUGGCGGAGCCCGGGGAGCAGCGGGGCCGGCCCGGGGGCACCGGGGGCGGCGGCGCCGGGCUCGGAGGAUGAGGAAGGCAACCCUGCCGAGGAGGAAGAUGAGGAGGUGUGGGAGGAUGGAGACAGCGGCCACCAAAGGCUGGGGAAGGCACAAGUCCAGCAAAGAACAUCCCAAACUGCCUCCUCACCCUCAUGGACAGCAGGAGUGCCCUCCAUAGCUCCUGUUUAGGAAUGGCAGUGGCUGUUGGGAGCUCUGGCAGGAGCAGCUGGAGACCAGCAGGGAAACAUUUAAACAAGAGGUGCCCAGAAGAAUUGGAGCUUCUGCACAAUGAAAUCUGCAGGAAUCCAACUUAAAAUCCUCCUGGAUUGUCACCGGUCCAACUUCCAUGGACUGGUUACCUUGGCCAGGAGUGUCCAAUCCUGCUGGAAAUGAACUGGACCAGGAUGUCAUUUUCACUUUAUUCAGGUAAAGACCCUCUGGGUGACCCCCAGUGACUGGAAGGACCAGACUGGGCUCCCAGGACACUAAUUCCAGGUGUUCUGGUUUUGGGAAUAGCACAGGAGCCUUUCCCUUGCCCAGAGGAGCAGCCAGUGCCUUCCUUAGUCCACAAAUCCCCAGGAUGGACCACAGAGAAAGUAACAGGAAUAUGGAAAUUCCCCACAGAGGGAGUUUGUGGUGCUCUGGAUUACAUUUUGGAUUUAUAAUGUUAAAGGGGGGUGUGGAGGGGUUUUUCUCUCUCUCCUUCCUGUUCAUUAUUUUUCACUGUUAUUUUUGCUCUCACUGUUAUUAUGUGUUGUCAUUAAUAUUAAAUGAUUGUAUUUGACUGGUUUCCAUUAUUAAAGUGUGAGUUGGA